This 506-nucleotide ribosomal RNA is filed under the name uncultured bacterium. Its description in RNAcentral is "partial 16S ribosomal RNA". It matches the Rfam family "Bacterial small subunit ribosomal RNA", at positions 30 to 523 of the family's 1533-position model. The record is from RNAcentral.
AUUGAACGCUAACGGCAUGCUUAACACAUGCAAGUCGAGCGGCAGCACAGCAGUAGCAAUACUGUGGGUGGCGAGUGGCGGACGGGUGAGUAAUGUAUAGGAAUCUGCCUUGUAGUGGGGGAUAACCUGGGGAAACUCGGGCUAAUACCGCGUAAUCUUUACGAAGCAAGGCGGGGGAUCGUAAGACCUUGCGCUAUAAGAUGAGCCUAUAUUGGAUUAGCUAGUUGGUGGGGUAAAGGCCUACCAAGGCGACGAUCCAUAGCUGGUCUGAGAGGAUGAUCAGCCACACUGGGACUGAGACACGGCCCAGACUCCUACGGAAGGCAGCAGUGGGGAAUAUUGGACAAUGGGGGAAACCCUGAUCCAGCAAUGCCGUGUGUGUGAAGAAGGCCUUCGGGUUGUAAAGCACUUUUAGUGGGAAAGAAAAGCUCAAAGCUAAUAACUUUGAGCCUUGACGUUACCCACAGAAAAAGCACUGGCUAACUCUGUGCCAGCCGCCGCGGUAA